GAACGCUGGCGGCGUGCCUAACACAUGCAAGUCGAGCGGAGAUGUACUGAAGAUUUAUCGGAUGUACAUCUUAGCGGCGGACGGGUGAGUAACGCGUGGGCAACCUGCCUUCCACGUGGGGGAUAACACAGGGAAACCUGUGCUAAUACCGCAUGACAUCACAUAGGGCAUCCUGUGUGAUCAAAGGAGUGAGUCCGGUGGAAGAUGGGCCCGCGUCCGAUUAGCUAGUUGGUGAGGUAACGGCUCACCAAGGCGACGAUCGGUAGCCGGACUGAGAGGUUGGCCGGCCACAUUGGGACUGAGACACGGCCCAGACUCCUACGGGGAGGCAGCAGGUGGGGAAUAUUGCGCAAUGGGGGAACCCUGACGCAGCGACGCCGCGUGAAGGAAGAAGGCCUUCGGGUUGUAAACUUCUUUGAUGAGGGACGAAGGAAGUGACGGUACCUCAAAAACAAGCCACGGCUAACUACGUG
RNAcentral lists this ribosomal RNA (473 nucleotides) under uncultured bacterium. RNAcentral describes it as "bacterial SSU rRNA". It matches the Rfam family "Bacterial small subunit ribosomal RNA", at positions 31 to 507 of the family's 1533-position model. The record is from RNAcentral.